RNAcentral lists this ribosomal RNA (466 nucleotides) under Weissella confusa. Its description in RNAcentral is "bacterial SSU rRNA". It matches the Rfam family "Bacterial small subunit ribosomal RNA", at positions 338 to 795 of the family's 1533-position model. Lineage: Bacteria; Bacillati; Bacillota; Bacilli; Lactobacillales; Lactobacillaceae. The record is from RNAcentral.
CCUACGGGAGGCUGCAGUGGGGAAUAUUGGACAAUGGGGGGAACCCUGAUCCAGCCAUGCCGCGUGUGUGAAGAAGGCCUUUUGGUUGUAAAGCACUUUAAGCGAGGAGGAGGAGCUCUAGAUUAAUACUCUAGAUGCUUGGACGUUACUCGCAGAAUAAGCACCGGCUAACUCUGUGCCAGCAGCCGCGGUAAUACAGAGGGUGCAAGCGUUAAUCGGAUUUACUGGGCGUAAAGCGUGCGUAGGUGGUCUUUUAAGUCGGAUGUGAAAUCCCUGAGCUUAACUUAGGAAUUGCAUUCGAUACUGGGAGACUAGAGUAUGGGAGAGGAUGGUAGAAUUCCAGGUGUAGCGGUGAAAUGCGUAGAGAUCUGGAGGAAUACCGAUGGCGAAGGCAGCCAUCUGGCCUAAUACUGACACUGAGGUACGAAAGCAUGGGGAGCAAACAGGAUUAGAUACCCUAGUAGUC